AGAGCGAACGCUGGCGGCAGGCUUAACACAUGCAAGUCGAGCGGGCGUAGCAAUACGUCAGCGGCAGACGGGUGAGUAACGCGUGGGAACAUACCUUUUGGUUCGGAACAACACAGGGAAACUUGUGCUAAUACCGGAUAAGCCCUUACGGGGAAAGAUUUAUCGCCGAAAGAUUGGCCCGCGUCUGAUUAGCUAGUUGGUGAGGUAACGGCUCACCAAGGCGACGAUCAGUAGCUGGUCUGAGAGGAUGAUCAGCCACAUUGGGACUGAGACACGGCCCAAACUCCUACGGGAGGCAGCAGUGGGGAAUAUUGGACAAUGGGCGCAAGCCUGAUCCAGCCAUGCCGCGUGAGUGAUGAAGGCCCUAGGGUUGUAAAGCUCUUUUGUGCGGGAAGAUAAUGACGGUACCGCAAGAAUAAGCCCCGGCUAACUUCACGCCAGCAGCCGC
Molecule: ribosomal RNA, 448 nt
Filed under: uncultured bacterium
Lineage: Bacteria
Description: SSU rRNA
Rfam family: Bacterial small subunit ribosomal RNA
Source: RNAcentral